Long non-coding RNA from Penaeus monodon (black tiger shrimp), 231 nucleotides. RefSeq lists it as uncharacterized. The record is from RefSeq and is a predicted model, not a curated record. NCBI's taxonomy places the organism in Eukaryota, Metazoa, Arthropoda, Malacostraca, Decapoda, Penaeidae. The transcript has 2 exons.
GGAGAGCAUGAGGGUGAAGGGUAGAUAGACGGAAAGAGGGAGCAAUGAGGGGGGCGGGCGCGGUUGUCAGGUAGAAGCCGUCACGGGGCGUCAGUGUUGAGGACUCCGUCAUACCUUGUAGUGCCAACCCCGGGUGUAUUACAGGCUGGGUUUCCAAUUACCCGUUCUUUUUUUUUAAUCAGAGACUGACUCGACGUUGCUCCACAUAAUCGAAGGACACCCUUCCCCCCC